GGCGUGGUGGCAGAGUGGUCUAAUGCGCUAGACUCGAAUUAUUCGUGUUAUCUAGUCCCUUCGGGGGCGUCUGUUCGAAUCAGGCCCACGUCG
Molecule: non-coding RNA, 93 nt
Organism: Rhypophila decipiens
Lineage: Eukaryota; Fungi; Ascomycota; Sordariomycetes; Sordariales; Naviculisporaceae
Source: the annotation of a GenBank genome assembly